GUAGGUGGCAAGCGUUGUCCGGAAUUAUUGGGCGUAAAGCGCGCGCAGGCGGUCCUUUAAGUCUGAUGUGAAAGCCCACGGCUCAACCGUGGAGGGUCAUUGGAAACUGGGGGACUUGAGUACAGAAGAGGAAAGCGGAAUUCCAAGUGUAGCGGUGAAAUGCGUAGAGAUUUGGAGGAACACCAGUGGCGAAGGCGGCUUUCUGGUCUGUAACUGACGCUGAGGCGCGAAAGCGUGGGGAGCAAACAGGGAUUAGAUACCCUGGUAGUCCACGCCGUAAACGAUGAGUGCUAAGUGUUAGGGGGUUUCCCGCCCCUUAGCGCUGCAGCUAACGCAUUAAGCACUCCGCCUGGGGAGUACGGCCGCAAGGCUG
Molecule: ribosomal RNA, 373 nt
Filed under: uncultured organism
Description: partial 16S ribosomal RNA
Rfam family: Bacterial small subunit ribosomal RNA
Source: RNAcentral